This 410-nucleotide long non-coding RNA is filed under the name Phoenix dactylifera (date palm). RNAcentral describes it as "long non-coding RNA (PDAC_LNC005132)". Lineage: Eukaryota; Viridiplantae; Streptophyta; Magnoliopsida; Arecales; Arecaceae. The record is from RNAcentral.
GUGUAUAUAUAUAUAGAGGUAUUAGUUUCACUUAGUUGCAUCUUCUCACACAAAUCUUCUGGUGACGCAUUAAAAAGUUUUUUCCUAAAAAAUUAAAGUCAUCGUUAAGGCCCGUAGCAUUACAAGCAUUAUUCCUAAUCUUCACGGGACUAAGACAUUUUCAACGAAGAUUAUGGCUUUUUCCACGUACCCGAUCGCGUACGCUAAAUGAGGGCCCGCCAAACCAGGUUUUUCUUUGGACCAUAAAUCAGGGUAGGUGGUGUGUCAAUUCAAGUUUUCAGGUGGACCGAGUAAAAGCUUUCAUUUUCCCAUCAGAGGAAUCGUUUGAAGUUCUUUGACGGCUCGUUUGGUUCGAAAAAGUAAUGAGAUACCUCUUAUUUGGUUGAAGUUUUCAAAUGAGAGAGACGAAA